GACGAACGCUGGCGGCGUGCUUAACACAUGCAAGUCGAACGGAAAGGCCCUGCUUUUGUGGGGUGCUCGAGUGGCGAACGGGUGAGUAACACGUGAGUAACCUGCCCUUGACUUUGGGAUAACUUCAGGAAACUGGGGCUAAUACCGGAUAGGAGCUCCUGCUGCAUGGUGGGGGUUGGAAAGUUUCGGCGGUUGGGGAUGGACUCGCGGCUUAUCAGCUUGUUGGUGGGGUAGUGGCUUACCAAGGCUUUGACGGGUAGCCGGCCUGAGAGGGUGACCGGCCAAAUUGGACCUGGGUUACGGCCCGGAUCCUUCGGGGAGGAGGAGUGGGGAAUAUUGCACAAUGGGCGGAAGCCUGAUGCAGCAACGCCGCGUGCGGGAUGACGGCCUUCGGGUUGUAAACCGCUUUCGCCUGUGACGAAGCGUGAGUGACGGUAAUGGGUAAAGAAGCACCGGCUAACUACGUG
This 467-nucleotide ribosomal RNA is filed under the name uncultured bacterium. RNAcentral describes it as "partial 16S ribosomal RNA". It matches the Rfam family "Bacterial small subunit ribosomal RNA", at positions 28 to 507 of the family's 1533-position model. The record is from RNAcentral.